UACGAAGGGGGCUAGCGUUGCUCGGAAUGACUGGGCGUAAAGGGCGCGUAGGCGGAUGGGACAGUCAGAUGUGAAAUUCCCGGGCUCAACCCGGGGGCGGCAUUUGAGACGUUUUGUCUGGAGUGCGGAAGAGGGUCGUGGAAUUCCCAGUGUAGAGGUGAAAUUCGUAGAUAUUGGGAAGAACACCGGUGGCGAAGGCGGCGACCUGGUCCGUGACUGACGCUGAGGCGCGAAAGCGUGGGGAGCAAACAGG
This 253-nucleotide ribosomal RNA is filed under the name uncultured bacterium. RNAcentral describes it as "partial 16S ribosomal RNA". It matches the Rfam family "Bacterial small subunit ribosomal RNA", at positions 524 to 776 of the family's 1533-position model. The record is from RNAcentral.